AUCGCUUCUCGGCCUUUUGGCUAAGAUCAAGUGUAGUAUCUGUUCUUAUCAGUUUUCAAGAUUGCUUUGGCUAGGGGCGCCUGGGUGGCUCAGUUGGUAAAGCAGCUGCCUUCGGCUCAGGUCAUGAUCCCAGGGUCCUGGGAUCGAGCCCCACAUCAGGCUUCUUGCUCCACAGGAAGCCUGCUUCUCCCU
Molecule: small nuclear RNA, 192 nt
Organism: Mirounga angustirostris (Northern elephant seal)
Lineage: Eukaryota; Metazoa; Chordata; Mammalia; Carnivora; Phocidae
Product: U2 spliceosomal RNA
Exons: 1
Source: RefSeq, a predicted model, not a curated record